This 2810-nucleotide ribosomal RNA is filed under the name Revelieria californica. RNAcentral describes it as "eukaryotic LSU rRNA". It matches the Rfam family "Eukaryotic large subunit ribosomal RNA", at positions 44 to 1882 of the family's 3401-position model. Lineage: Eukaryota; Metazoa; Arthropoda; Insecta; Coleoptera; Latridiidae. The record is from RNAcentral.
UAAUAAGCGGAGGAAAAGAAACUAACUAGGAUUCCCCCAGUAGCGGCGAGCGAAGAGGGAAAAGCCCAGCACUGAAUCCCGCGGUCGUAACCGGCCGCUGGGAAAUGUAGUGUUUGGAAGGAUCCGUUAUCCCGAUGUUAGGCUGUGCGUCCAAGUCCAUCUUGAACGGGGCCACAACCCAUAGAGGGUGCCAGGCCCGUAGUGACCGCGGCCUAUGUCGGGAGGAUGUCUUCUGAGAGUCGGGUUGCUUGAGAGUGCAGCCCUAAGUGGGUGGUAAACUCCAUCUAAGGCUAAAUAUAACCACGAGACCGAUAGCGAACAAGUACCGUGAGGGAAAGUUGAAAAGAACUUUGAAGAGAGAGUUCAAUAGUACGUGAAACCGUUCAGGGGUAAACCUGAGAAACCCGAAAGGUCGAAGGGGGAGAUUCAUCGCGUUUCGAUCAAACUGGCACCGGGUUGUUGUGCGACGUAGCGUCCUUCGGGUCGUUGCGCGUCUUCGACUCGUGUGAGCCGGUGUCGAACGUGUGCACUUCUCCUCUGGUAGGACGUCGCGAUCCGUUGGGUGUCGGCCUACGGCCCAUGGUGGAGCCCGUAUGUGAAAGCUUGCUUUUGUCUGCGGACCCAUGGUGUCCUGGUCGACUCGCUCGACGGUGAACAGAUGGCGCAGGGCCGCGACUCAGUUCGCGUCCGGCUCGUGGCAAGCAUCGUCGUGUGUUUGUCGGCAAUCGGACCUAGUGCCGAUGCCGGCCACCGACAGCUGUUGGCUACGAUGUCUCGGACAGACCUUGUCGAAACGCCAAUCUGCGACGCUAUUGCUUUGGGUACUUUCAGGACCCGUCUUGAAACACGGACCAAGGAGUCUAGCAUGUGCGCGAGUCAUUGGGACAUAAUUAAACCUAAAGGCGCAAUGAAAGUAAAGGUUCGUCUUGUGCGAACCUAGGGAAGAUGGGCGGUUGUUCCUAACCGGCGGCCGUCCCGCAUUCCCGGGGCGUCUCGUUCUCAUUGCGAGAAGAGGCGCACCAAGAGCGUACACGCUGGGACCCGAAAGAUGGUGAACUAUGCCUGGUCAGGACGAAGUCAGGGGAAACCCUGAUGGAGGUCCGUAGCGAUUCUGACGUGCAAAUCGAUCGUCGGAACUGGGUAUAGGGGCGAAAGACUAAUCGAACCAUCUAGUAGCUGGUUCCCUCCGAAGUUUCCCUCAGGAUAGCUGGCGCUCGUUGCGUACGAGUCUCAUCCGGUAAAGCGAAUGAUUAGAGGCAUUGGGGUCGAAACGACCUCAACCUAUUCUCAAACUUUAAAUGGGUGAGAUCUCCGGCUUGCUCAAACAUGAAGCCGUGAGAAUAACGGAUCAGAGUGCCAAGUGGGCCAUUUUUGGUAAGCAGAACUGGCGCUGUGGGAUGAACCAAACGCCGAGUUAAAGCGCCUAAAUCGACGCUUAUGGGAUACCAUGAAAGGCGUUGGUAACUUAAGACAGCAGGACGGUGGCCAUGGAAGUCGGAAUCCGCCAAGGAGUGUGUAACAACUCACCUGCCGAAGUUACUAGCCCUGAAAAUGGAUGGCGCUGAAGCGUCGUGCUUAUACUCGGCCGUCAGCGGCAUGUGCGACAUGUGCACAUCUCGGUGUGUACGGUCAUGAAGCCCUGACGAGUAGGAGGGUCGCGGCGGUGUGCGCAGAAGGGCUGGUCGUGAGACCGUCUGGAGCCGCCGUCGGUGCAGAUCUUGGUGGUAGUAGCAAAUACUCCAGCGAGGCCCUGGAGGACUGACGUGGAGAAGGGUUUCGUGUGAACAGCCGUUGCACACGAGUCAGUCGAUCCUAAGCCCUAGGCGAAAGCCGAUGUUGAUGUGGUGUAGUUUUAUCAAUUGAGUGUAUUAUUUACCUGUGUGUAUCAUGCUGCCGCUGUUGUGGUAGGUAAUCAAUGGAAAUAUUAUGCGCGUCAUACAGAUUCGUACAAUGAUGACGGUUAUGCAUGUUGGUGUGGUGGCUCUCUCUGUCGUCACCACCACCGCCAAAAGAUUGCGCAUGCACGUUACGACUAGGCUGAUGGCCCUUUGCAGCCCCUCGACUGAAACAUUUUAUAUGAUGAUGGCCCAUCACUUACAUCAGUGCAUUUAAGGUCUCUGCCUGCACAUCGCCGACUGUGUGGUAAACAUGUGUGUAUAGAAGACAUGUCCAGCAGCUCGACGUUGGUUAGUAGUAGGACUAAAGAGAAUAGAAAAAUGUGUGUAUGUCAUGUUGGUGUCACAUCAUCAUGUAUGUGUGUGUAGGUUGUUGGCGGCAGUACAUGUGACCAGUAGUCGUCGGUUGUGAUUUGUUAUGACUGAGCAAUCAAUGACGGGGUGUGAUGAUGAGCCAAAGAGCUGAAUAUGCAGAAUCGUUCGUUGUCAAAUGAAUGAUAUGCAAACGCGCAUCGAUUGGUUUAAACCUAUAAGCGUGUUGUGUGUGCACAGGUGUAUGUACAUAUUGUAAAGUCAGUACACACCCAUUGGGCGAAAGGGAAUCCGGUUCCUAUUCCGGAACCCGGCAGCGGAACCGUCAAUAAAUCGGGCCCUUGCAAAAGAGUUCGUCGGGGUAACCCAAAAGGACCCGGAGACGCCGUCGGGAGAUCCGGGAAGAGUUUUCUUUUCUGCAUAAGCGUUCGAGUUCCAUGGAAUCCUCUAGCAGGGAGAUAUGGUUUGGAACGCGAAGAGCACCGCAUUUGCGGCGGUGUCCGGAUCUUCCCCUCGGACCUUGAAAAUCCGGGAGAGGGCCACGUGGAGGCGUCGCGCCGGUUCGUACCCAUAUCCGCAGCAGGUCUCCAAGGUAAAGAGCCU